Molecule: ribosomal RNA, 253 nt
Filed under: uncultured bacterium
Lineage: Bacteria
Description: partial 16S ribosomal RNA
Rfam family: Bacterial small subunit ribosomal RNA
Source: RNAcentral
UACAGAGGGGGCAAGCGUUGUUCGGAAUUACUGGGCGUAAAGCGUGCGCAGGCGGUGAUGUAAGACAGAUGUGAAAUCCCCGGGCUCAACCUGGGAACUGCAUUUGUGACUGCAUCGCUGGAGUGCGGCAGAGGGGGAUGGAAUUCCGCGUGUAGCAGUGAAAUGCGUAGAUAUGCGGAGGAACACCGAUGGCGAAGGCAAUCCCCUGGGCCUGCACUGACGCUCAUGCACGAAGGCGUGGGGAGCAAACAGG